RNAcentral lists this ribosomal RNA (253 nucleotides) under uncultured bacterium. RNAcentral's name for it is "partial 16S ribosomal RNA". It matches the Rfam family "Bacterial small subunit ribosomal RNA", at positions 524 to 776 of the family's 1533-position model. The record is from RNAcentral.
UACAGAGGGGGCAAGCGUUAUUCGGAAUUAUUGGGCGUAAAGGGCGCGUAGGCGGCCUGGCAAGUGGAAGGUGGAAUCCCUCGGCUUAACCGAGGAACUGCCCUCCAAACUGCUUGGCUUGAGACCGGGAGAGGUGAGUGGAAUUCCCAGUGUAGCGGUGAAAUGCGUAGAUAUUGGGAGGAACACCAGUGGCGAAGGCGGCUCACUGGACCGGUACUGACGCUGAGGCGCGAAAGCGUGGGGAGCAAACGGG